Molecule: ribosomal RNA, 253 nt
Filed under: uncultured bacterium
Lineage: Bacteria
Description: partial 16S ribosomal RNA
Rfam family: Bacterial small subunit ribosomal RNA
Source: RNAcentral
UACGGGGGGGGCAAGCGUUGUUCGGAAUUACUGGGCGUAAAGGGCUCGUAGGUGGCCAACUAAGUCAGACGUGAAAUCCCUCAGCUUAACUGGGGAACUGCGUCUGAUACUGGAUGGCUUGAGUUUGGGAGAGGGAUGCGGAAUUCCAGGUGUAGCGGUGAAAUGCGUAGAUAUCAGGAGGAACACCGGUGGUGUAGACGGCUUUCUGGACCGUAACUGACGCUGAGACACGAAAGCGUGGGUAGCAAACAGG